Molecule: ribosomal RNA, 253 nt
Filed under: uncultured bacterium
Lineage: Bacteria
Description: partial 16S ribosomal RNA
Rfam family: Bacterial small subunit ribosomal RNA
Source: RNAcentral
UACGGGGGGGGUAAGCGUUGUUCGGAAUUACUGGGCGUAAAGGGCUCGUAGGCGGCCAACUAAGUCAGACGUGAAAUCCCUCAGCUUAACUGGGGAACUGCGUCUGAUACUGGAUGGCUUGGAUUCGGGAGAGGAAUGCGGAAUUCCAGGUGUAGCGGUGAAAUGCGCAGAUAUCAGGAGGAACACCGGUGGCGAAGGCGGGUCUCUGGGCCGAUACUGACGCUGAGGAGCGAAAGCGUGGGGAGCAAAGAGG